AGAGACCGGUCUCCCUUUCACUCCCUCUCUAACGCUUGCUCUCCCUUCUCUCUAGAACCUUGUUGUUCUCUCCUCCUUCUCCAACAAGCUUCAUCGCCUCUCCGGCCAUGCUCUAUCAAGGCUUCUCUCGACCUCUAGUCACCAUGGAAUCCUAUAUCGUUUCUUCGCUCCAAGGUUUGAAGCCCUAGAAGCUUCCACCAUGAUAGACGGUCAUUAAAGCCUCGUCGGGGUCCGUUUCCGGCCUUUCUCCAAUGGAUUUUACUCCAAUGAUGCUGAAAAUACCACUAUCCUUGAGUUUCACAAGCAGGCUUCUCUUCCCUUUCUCACUGGUUUCUUAUUAAGCCCUGAUCUUGACAAAAACCUCUCAAAUCUCUGGGUUUUUUUAACGAUUUUAACGCAUACCUUUAUCUUUUGCACUAUUUUCUACUCGAUCUUUAAGAUUACUCCAGUUUUAAACGUUUUUGUUCCCUUUUUGAAACUAGGGUUUCUGAACCCUUUUUUGAAAUCACUUUACUUUCUGAUUUUGAGUACUAAUCUGUGAUUCUUCCAUAUUUUGCUUAAGUCUGAUAAAACCCUAGCCUUAUAUGUUUACGUUUGUGUUGUUUGCUUAUUUUUGUGUUCGUAUGGGCUCUUCUUUUGGUCCCCAUGUUCUUUGAUUAACUUUGGUUACCAGUAUUUCAUUCUCAUAACAUUCUGUAUGUUACGUUUAAAGUCUCUCUAACUAUUUGUAUGUCGAUUUUGUACUGAUUCUUACAAGCCUCUUUUUGAAAUUGUGAUACUUGCCAUAAAAUUGGAUUUCGCGUAUUGUCCUUAUAGUUUGGGAUUAAUAUUAAACUUUCUUCCUCAAUCUGUGGGAUACUUUCGUCAACUGCUGAUGGUCUCCUAAGCUUUUAAUCUCGAUCCUUAUUUUUGGGGAUUACUGCCCAAAAUUGGAGCGGUAUACCGCCCCAUAUGUGCAUGAUGAUUGAUUUGCUUGAUCUGUUUCCCUAAUUAUACUAUCAUGUAUUGCAAACUUUGUGCUAUUCUUUUCCUUAUGUUAUCAUACCUUGUGAUUUCUUUCCUUUAAAACAGUUGCUUAUUAUCGUUUAACUUUGAUUCCUUAAUUAAAGGGUAGUCCUUAUACUGAUUUGAUUAUGAUUGAUGCCGGUUCCUUAAUUAGGGAUUGCUGCCUUAUUCGUUUACUCGUAUUCAGUACUAUAUGUACCCUCCCCCAUUCUCUUUGCAAGAUACCAACACAUUGCAUAUCAUUUGACAUACACAGACACGAAUACACUCAGUGUUCUGCUGGCCUCUAAUGUGUUACUUGAUUUGGGUCUGCCUGCUGCUCUGCUCUCUGCUCUCUGCUUCUCUCUGCACACUACUGCUCACCUCUCUGCACAAUAUUGCUUACUAAUUCUCUGUAAUUACAUUAUUUUUCAACUGGUAUGUAUCCUAUUUAAGUUAUAGCCUCAAAAACAACAUGCUUCUAUUGGUGUUACACUUUCUUUCGUUCCUUGUGUGCUUCUACAUGUGGUUCUGCUACUCCUAUUGCAACUAGCAUGCAUCUGUGUUAAUUAGUGAGACUAAUUAGUAAGCCUAGCAUAUUAAUUACCCCCAACCUCCCUUGCCUACCCCAAUGCGAGUUUCCCCUUUGCUUUUGUAUACUACUAGCAACCUCUUAGCUACUCCAUAGCCCCAAAACCUCUUUCUAAGGAUGAUUUGGUUUGGUGUCUGUGCUAUAAGAACUGGACUCCUGUUUGAAGCAUGAACUCUCCUGUGUGUGACAGAUUGUCUUGUAAGUUGUUUGUUCCCUUUGCCUUUGCAUUUGCCUUUGCCUUUGUGACUGUUGCUUUCAAAACCAUCCUCAAAGUAACUGUUUUCAAAUCAGUUAAAAUUUUAACUCUUCUUUUGUUUUUCUCAAAUUGUCCUUCAUGUAAAGCCUUUCUCAGCUCAACCCCUUCAAAUUCUAUCACAAUCACAGUACUAUUAGAAUUAGGAUAUGCCCACGUUGUGUAAGCAUUGCUUUGGGUACCUAGAGUACCCACUAAACUUUAAUGCACAAGGUUGGCAAUUUCACAUUUGCACUUAUCAAUGGCGAUUUGUUUUGGGUGCCUGUUAUUGACCGGGGUCUCAAGAGACCCCUAGGGAACUUUGCCGUACCCAAACUCUUAGUGAAGGGUGUAAAGCUCGAAAGAAGUGAGGUUAGAGGUCUGGGCCUGGAUGAAGUCCCCUAAAGAAUAGCUUCUUGUUUUACUCUUCACUAUUGUAAUUUAAUUACUUAAUCUGUAAUAACUUGUAAAGAACUAUUGGGUUUAUAGUGCAAUUAGAGAGGGA
This 2313-nucleotide long non-coding RNA is filed under the name Nicotiana benthamiana. RNAcentral's name for it is "long non-coding RNA (NBEN_LNC040914)". Lineage: Eukaryota; Viridiplantae; Streptophyta; Magnoliopsida; Solanales; Solanaceae. The record is from RNAcentral.